RNAcentral lists this ribosomal RNA (701 nucleotides) under uncultured Clostridium sp. RNAcentral describes it as "bacterial SSU rRNA". It matches the Rfam family "Bacterial small subunit ribosomal RNA", at positions 48 to 748 of the family's 1533-position model. The record is from RNAcentral. Lineage: Bacteria; Bacillati; Bacillota; Clostridia; Eubacteriales; Clostridiaceae.
CUAACACAUGCAAGUCGAGCGAGAAAUCAUAAAAUGAAACUUCGGUAGAUUUUUAAGAUGGAAAGCGGCGGACGGGUGAGUAACGCGUAGGCAACCUGCCUUAUGCAGAGGGAUAGCCAUUGGAAACGAUGAUUAAAACCUCAUAACGCCGGAGAGUCACAUGGUUUUCCGGCCAAAGAUUUAUCGGCAUAAGAUGGGCCUGCGUCUGAUUAGUUAGUUGGUGGGGUAACGGCCUACCAAGGCGACGAUCAGUAGCCGACCUGAGAGGGUGAUCGGCCACAUUGGAACUGAGACACGGUCCAAACUCCUACGGGAGGCAGCAGUGGGGAAUAUUGCACAAUGGGCGAAAGCCUGAUGCAGCAACGCCGCGUGAAGGAAGAAGGCCUUCGGGUCGUAAACUUCUGUCCUAUGGGAAGAAAAAAAUGACGGUACCAUAGGAGGAAGCCCCGGCUAACUACGUGCCAGCAGCCGCGGUAAUACGUAGGGGGCGAGCGUUAUCCGGAAUUAUUGGGCGUAAAGAGUGCGUAGGUGGUAACUUAAGCGCGGGGUUUAAGGCAAUGGCUUAACCAUUGUUCGCCCUGCGAACUGGGAUACUUGAGUGCAGGAGAGGAAAGCGGAAUUCCUAGUGUAGCGGUGAAAUGCGUAGAUAUUAGGAGGAACACCAGUGGCGAAGGCGGCUUUCUGGACUGAAACUGACACUG